UGCAGUACCUCAACUGUUGCAGGACCUU
This 28-nucleotide non-coding RNA is filed under the name Rattus norvegicus (Norway rat). The record is from RNAcentral. Lineage: Eukaryota; Metazoa; Chordata; Mammalia; Rodentia; Muridae.